ACGACACAUGGACACGUGUAGACAUUAAAUAUAAAUCAUUUUAUAAUAUACAAAUUGUACAGAUGCAACCAAAGGAAAGCAGACAGGCUGAUGAGGAGGAAUGUUCUCCGUCUUGAAGGCGAUGACGGCGGCGGCGGCGCUGCAGCAUCAGAGAUACUCAACAUUCAUGAGAAGAAACUACUCGAAAGGCGCUGAAGUGUUUUCCGCCGCCGUGUUCACGCCACGGAGGAAACCAACCACCAUAUUUUUACGGCGCCAGACGUUUGAGUCAUGAGGAGAUGUUUGAGUUCCUCGCCGUUUCCCGGAGAGAGGAAACUGUAAAUUCCCUCAGACCCUGAAGGGGACUGAAUUUUGGGGCAGAUGGCGUCCUGAAGGCCGCGCCAGCAGGAAUCCAUGUUUUUAGAAUCCUGACGUUCUAGAGUUUUUCAGGAAAGGGUUUACUGGAGGAGGAGACGCUCCACAUCUGGACACUGGAGCAGGAAUCAAACCCUCGACUCAUCUCCAUAAAGUUAAAUACUGACUUAUGACUUCAUCCAGAGGCAGGAAAGUCUAUUUUUUGACAACAUCAGGUGGAGUGGAACCACAAUAACCAAAAUUAUUUCAACAUCAGUUUUUUAUAUCAUUAAAAUAUAAAUGAUUGGUUUCACACUGUAAAAAUGUCAAAGUUAAAUCAGCUGAUAAAUCCUUUGACAGAUCAUUAAAACUUUUAUUAUGUUUGAUUACUUUUGUCCUUAAAGGGAUUAUUUUUGGAAAACAUUUUUUUAAAUCAUUUUGAUGUUUCCACUGUGUGAUUCUAUGCGUUUCCCAUAAACUUUUAGGGGAUUUAAGGAUCUUUGCAGGACUCGUUUGAAUUUUUUUGGGUUUUUAAGGUGGAGUGUGUUUGUGUUUAUGUUUGGGCAAAACCAACCAGAUUUGAGUGCUAUCUCACUCUCGGAAAACGAGUGUUUUAUUCAUUUGGAGAAGCCUGAAUGUAAAAGAAACUCCAGACGGAAACACAAACAUAAUUUAAAGAUUCCCUCUGAUCAAAGUGGUUGAUGGUUGAUCAGCUUACAGUGAAUGAAAAAACAGAUUCAAAUUGAAUUAAAGUUUCAAACACUGAAAACUUGAAGGAAUUAUGGAAAAUAUGACAUUUUAAGUUUGAAAAAAUAAUAUUGUAAACUUGAAAGAAAUGUUGAAAAUGUAAAACUUGACUUAAACAAGUAUAUAUUUUUCAACUUUUGUUUUUCAGGCUGUGAUUUCCCAUGAGGUUUUCCCAAACAGGUGAUGGUGAUGUGGCGGCGUUCCUGCUCCAGAACGGAGUCUGUUCUAUUUCACGCUCCACUAUAAGGGAUGACCUCAUGACCUCAGGAGGAAGAGGAGGAGGCGCCGCUCCCAUGUUUCAGCGAAGGCGACACAAAGCCCGCAGCAAAACAAAAAAACAUUCACAAACGAUGCAGAAAAGUCCACAAACACAACACCUUCAUGAGGGGGAAACGGCCCCGCCCCCCCAGCUCUGAACUCCAGUAAUAAAAGACCAACCAGCAGCCAAAGCCCCCCAGCCCCCCAGGACGAUAAUGAACACACGACAUUUAGAUCACCGGAACGCCUCUAGCAGACACGUCUAACAGCGGACUGAAGCCAUCACAGUUUCAUCAGCUACUCUACACAGGAAAACGCCGGCGGGAAUCUCAGCGGCGACGGGUUGGACCGUUUAUGUUCAGAGGGCAGAAUUUCCCAUCAUCCUCUUCUGUAAGGACAGCUCUGUCCUUCAUAGGAAAAGUCCCAGCAAUCAGUGCAAACAACCCCCCCAUCAGCGUCUUCAAUGAGCCUUGACGUGUUGAGGUGUCUCGUUGUCGAUACCUGCCCCCCCAAACCCCAAAAAAGUGAUUAUAAAUGCACGAUUACAGACAGAGCCCCCGCUGGUAGAAUCCAUUAGCCAGCCACUCAGAGCUGAGCACCGUGAACGCCGCCACCUGCCUCCCCCGGAUAAAGGAGGGGGGGGGCAGGAAGCCAUGAGGCGGCACGCCGUGAUGUCCGCUCAGAGCUGGAGGAAACAUCAUCUCUGGGAUGGACCCGUACAGGUCGACAUGAGCCGCCACGGUCUGUCGCUGCUACAAACUGUCUCUGUGUCGACAGAAAAUCCUCCGUUUCAGCUGCUUUCACUGAAAAAACGCAUGAAAGUUGAUUUCUGCCAGUUUCAGGAUGAACAACAGCAGGAAAAACAGUCCAAAACGAUGAGCUACAGGGUUCAUGGUUCUGAGAAAAGAGUCCAAAAUGCAGGACUGUUGGAAAUCCUCGUCAAAUACGCAGAAAACUUUAAAAUCUUUACAGCUGUAAACACUGGUUGCUAUGGGAAACUGGACAAAGUAGUUUGACAUUAUGGAGUAAAAAUUGGUGGACAUCCUAACCAGCUCAACUGAAGCAUGAAAUCAAAUGGUUGCUAUGGGAAACUGGGUGAUUUAGCUUGCGAUAAUGGAAUAAAAAUUGGUGGACAUAUCAACCAGCUUCAAAGAAGCAUAAAACCAUAUGGUUGCUAUGGACCUAAACAAUUUGCAAUGUUUCUACUUUGAAUCGAAUGUGACUCUGCUGAGGUUUAGUAGACAGUAGAUAUGAAAGAACUGCAGCUUUAGCGGCAGGUACCCAGUGCCAAAUGAACUAAUCUGAUGGUAGAAACAAGAGGUUACCUACUAAAGCCUGCAGCAUGCUGGGCCGUUGUCAUGGAUACCACUUUCCAUUUUGCCCAACUGAACCCGUGUUUGUCUGAUUUAUUCAAGAUUAUCUUCAAUUGCCAAUAUUGCAAAUAGUCAAAGGUGGUUAAUGCCCUCUUAUGAGAACAUAGCAUGCAGAUGUAGAUCUAUAUAAGAUAUCCUCAGAACCGAAUGUUUUCACGUUUCCAGAUAAAGUAAUUAAGGGGAUACUCAGUUUUGGUAGUAAUGACUCAUAACUUUAGCAGCUUCUUUGUACUAAAAUAAUGUCUUUGACUCCACAUUUUACAUGCAAAGAAACUG
This is a long non-coding RNA of Oryzias melastigma (Indian medaka), 2987 nucleotides long. RefSeq lists it as uncharacterized. The transcript is spliced from 2 exons. NCBI's taxonomy places the organism in Eukaryota, Metazoa, Chordata, Actinopteri, Beloniformes, Adrianichthyidae. The record is from RefSeq and is a predicted model, not a curated record.